CAACAGUACGUGAAACCGCAUAGAGGUAAACGGGUGGAUCCGCAAAGUCGGCCCGCGGAAUUCAGCUCGGAAGGCUGCGCGCCUGCCGCCGGGUAGGAGAUCGCAAGACUCUCCUGGCGUGGGACGCGUGCCGGCCGUGUGCACUUUCCGUGGGCAGAGCGCCACGACCGGUUUCUGGGUGGUCAGAAGGCGGCGAGGAUGGUAGGCGCGCGCCUCGGUGCGCGCUGGUAUAGCCUCGCCUGUCCCGAUCCGCCUGGGGACCGAGGAGCCGCCGUGGGCUGGGGCCGCCUCGCCCUCCCGGGACGUUCGACUGGCAGAGACUGGGUGACCGUGUCUGCCGACCGCUUCCUGGGACGGACUGGGGUGGGCCCGCCCUCACAGGGUCAGUGGCGAAUCGGUCGGCCCUCCACCCGACCCGUCUUGAAACACGGACCAAGGAGUCUAACAUGCGCGCGAGUCGUUGGGUCGUACGAAACCCGAAGGCGAAGUGAAAGCGAGGGCCGUCUCUGACGUGCUCAGGUGGGAUCCUGGUCCCUCUUCGGGCUGGGCGCACCACCGGCCCGUCUCGUCCGCGCUGU
RNAcentral lists this ribosomal RNA (578 nucleotides) under Lophiotoma acuta. RNAcentral describes it as "eukaryotic LSU rRNA". Lineage: Eukaryota; Metazoa; Mollusca; Gastropoda; Neogastropoda; Turridae. The record is from RNAcentral.